GAACCAACCAGAUUAAGGAAGAAAUAGACCACCAGCAGAACCUCUCAGCAUGUUACCUCCUGGUGUGGUUCUGCUCAUAGCUUUACGCUUGAUAGGUGUUAAAGGUCAGACCCUGACAGAGUCUGAACCAGCUGUUUUAAAAACGGGAGAAUCUCACAAACUGACGUGUGUGUAUUCUGGAAUAUCAGACGAUAAUGCUCAUAUUAGCUGGAUCAGACAGGCUCGUGGGAAGGGACUAGAGUGGAUUGCUCAUAUUUCUGCUCCAAGUGGUAGCAGCAAAUAUUACUCCCAGUCAGUCCAGGGUCGGUUCACCAUCUCCAGAGAUAAUGGCAAGGACCAGGUGUACCUCCAGAUGAACAGCCUGAAGACUGAAGACUCUGCUGUUUAUUAUUGUGCUCGAAAACCACAGUGACACAGGAAGCUGCAGAGCUGUACUAAAACUGAUCAACACUGAUCUCACAUGAGAGAGUAGGAGGUGUCGCAGUACAAAGAAUAUCUCCCACAAGAGAGCUAUGAGAGGAGAAAGUCCCUCCACAUUAUCAUCCCUCUAUGUUUGAGUAUACCACUAAUACAACAGCAACAUUUCUUGUGUCGUAUUUAACUAAACUCAUCAAAUUCAGCCUUGUCCUUCCCCUUCAUAUACAUUUAUAGAUAUAGAUAAUGUCCAAUGU
Molecule: non-coding RNA, 671 nt
Organism: Hypomesus transpacificus
Lineage: Eukaryota; Metazoa; Chordata; Actinopteri; Osmeriformes; Osmeridae
Source: the annotation of a RefSeq genome assembly